Molecule: non-coding RNA, 2548 nt
Organism: Salmo salar (Atlantic salmon)
Lineage: Eukaryota; Metazoa; Chordata; Actinopteri; Salmoniformes; Salmonidae
Source: RefSeq, a predicted model, not a curated record
CAGCUACAGCUAGCUAGCACUGCAGUGCAUAAAAUGUGUUGAGUAGUUGACUCAAAGAGAGAGAAAGACAAUAGUUUAACAAUUAUGAACAACUUAAUUUCUUCCAAAAUGAAGAAGCAAGAGAGAAAGAUUGUCUUUUUUCCCACUUUCAGUUUCACUUACAUAGCUAGCAAAUGCAGCUAGCUAAUUUAGCCUACUGAAACACCCUGCGCAAACAGAAGGAUGCUAUGAUAACUUGCUGUCUAUGAAUAUCUAACACAACACUGGAACUCUUCCAAGUCAAGAUGGAUACCCUUCCCCUACCCGUGGUGUUGGAAGAGGCUGGGAGGAGGAUGGAUCAACACCCUGCAAAUAUAUUUAUUAUGCAAUCACUCAUAACACAUUUUAUGUGUAUCAUCUUCAAGAUUGAUAAGAACCAAUCAGUUACAAGGCAAAAAAUCUGAUUGAGGCCUUCAAUCACACCGAGGACAGAAGAAUCUGUGUGCACCAGAGGUCAAGGCCAAUGGACAGCUGUGUAAAGGGUAUGCUGAAUGAGUGGAACCUAGCCUCUUCUAUUCCAAAGUUUUAGGUGCAAGCAUUCAUCAAGCUUUGGACGAAGGACUUCCAAACGGCGCCGCCAUCUCCAAAGUUCACUCAAUCUGCAAUAGUAAUACACUGGGUUUGAUUUCAUUUUUGUUUUUAAUUAUUUACAUUUGAUUAAUUAUCUUUUAAACUUCCAUUGGUUGAAAUCUAUUGCUCAGUUAUCACUUGGCUCAUGUAAAUAAUUCUGUAGUUGCCCCUUGUCAUGGAAUAUCUAAUCAAAGGGAAGAGAGACUGCAGAUUAUUUGAAACAACACUUUAUCAUAAGACUUUCAAAAAUGGAGAAUCAACUACCCACUCAACAGUGCAUAGUUGCAAAGCUCAACGAACAGUGCCGGUUCAAUGCUUAUAUAGAGAAAAUACAUACAACCCCUUUCUGUAUACGUGGCAGUCAACAGAUAGUGUGUAAAAUGUAACUCGUUGUCUGUGUAAACUUAAGAUAGAACAAGGUUGAUAGCCCGAGGGCUCAACCGUCUAACUGCAUUCACAACAACAAACACUAUAUUGUACUCUUUUCUGCAAGAUUCCAUACAUGUAACUUUCUGUAGAUAGUAAACCCACAGGAUUUUACAUGCUGCAGUCGCACCCAAACAUCUCUUAGCUGUAAGCCCAGUCUUAUGACUAAGUCACAUCAAGACAAGUUUGUAUCAGGUUAGAAAAAACACAGCAUAUACAGUAACAAUAGACUGUUCUUUAAGCAGUAAAACAUGGGAUAGCAUGACUAAUUAUGGAAUAUUCCACGACACCCUUUAAACAUCCUGAGAUUUGGGAAAUAUCCAGUCUUUCCUCUUUUCUUCAUUACCAUGCUGAUGAUUUCAAGUUUUAUUGGACGUAUUUUUCUGUUAAGACAUUGAAUACAUGUUGCUUAGUAUAUUUACUACAUUUAAUGUAAAAAAAUAAUGUAUCUGAGAAGUAAGUUCAUUUAAAGUUAUGUGAUUUGGUUUAUGUAGAUACAACAUUUCUAUGUUGUUAACACACAAAAACCUGAUCUAAUUUGCCUAGAAUGUUCACCACAAGUUUCCCAGAAUUGUUUGCCAGAAGUUCACAAGUGGUUGCAAAUUUACCCCAACAGUUUACCAAAAAUGUAUUUGCAUGUGAAAAUAUGAGCUUGCCGCAAAUGAACCGCAACAUUUUGCCACAAAAGUAAUUUGCAUGUGGAAAUAUUUGCGACAUAUUGGCCGAAGGUUUGCCACAACUGUACAUUUUCCCCUUUUCCUCCUUGAACGUGAAAAGGUAUCCAUACUGCCAAACACGGAAAGUGUCCAUUUUCAUUUCAACUAGGUAUCUACAAAGAAAGCCCUUUAAAUGGAAUACUACCAUUAAAAAUCAGUGCAUUCAAUGUGCGGCUGCUGAUAGCAGCACGUUUAUGGAGAUGAGAACUCAGACAAAUUCUUUAAAAAACAAAAAAACACAGGCAAGUUCACUUUUUUUACCAAAUCUCUUUUUAUUGUAAAUUGAUGUCACUUGGUUUUGAGAAACCACCAAUAGACUACCUCACGCUCGUUCUGCAGUUGCAGGGGCACAGAUAAAACAUGAUCUGCAACGUUAUAUUCUAUUUUGUUGGACUCAAGCAUUACUUUUCCGUAUGCGAGCAUGCACAGACUUCACCACAAUUGGAACGAGAAAGCACACGCAAGCUCGCACAUGGAAAGUAACACUCACGUCUAACAAAAAUGGAAUAUAACGUUGCAGAUACAAUCAAAAUGACACAGCCCAUCAAAGAAAGUGUUACCUUCUGUUGCGUAGCCACCUGACCAGUUGUACUUCAAUGGAUUUUGUUAGACUUUUUGUUUGUUUUUCUUAUUGACUUCCGCCUAGUGGAGACUUUUAGCCAAGGCCUUUGGUGUGGUUGGUGCCCUUUUCAGAGAGGCAGAGUAGGCUUUUAAAUCCAUGGUGGAAAAAUACUGCUGGACUUUGUCCCAUAGCAAGGAAGGGCAGUCAGUUAAGUGUCUCAGUGUGUGUGUGUGUG